Molecule: long non-coding RNA, 1145 nt
Filed under: Pogona vitticeps (central bearded dragon)
Lineage: Eukaryota; Metazoa; Chordata; Lepidosauria; Squamata; Agamidae
Description: lncRNA (ENSPVIG00000012511.1)
Source: RNAcentral
CACACACACACGAUCUGCUUUUAUCAAGCAUUCAAGAGCUAUCAGGUGUCUGUGUCAUAUUUCUCAAAUGGGGGGGGCGGCAGUGGUCAAAGGCGGCGUCCUUACCUUGGAUCUACUUGAGUAGCCCAUCGUCUUUGAGACGGAUGUGGGGAUCAAAGGGAAGCGACAGGGCUUGAGUUGAACACCGCAUUUAUUUCAGUUGUGUGUUUUGGAUGCUUGUCAUGUCAAGGAUCCUCUCUCCGUCACCUGCAAGUGAGCUGAUCUUUUCCAUCCCAACCCUCUCCUGGGCUCCCUCUCUAAAUCAAGAGCCUCUGAUAGAUGCAGCCGCUUUGUAUCUGCCCAGCAAAUAGUGGCCUUUUGUCCCACACAAGCUCCUAAACAAACUUAAUCUCUCUAACCCAGUGACAGAUGACAUUUCGAUGUCCUUGUCCUUCCCCCCCUUAAAAUGAGUUUUAUUGACAAUCAGGGAACAAAAAGAAGGCCUAGAGAAAGACCAAUGUUUUAUAGGCCUCAACAGCAUCUUUGUUCUCCCUACUGAGGGUGUGGAGAAAACUUGAAGUUGUGCUCACCCCCCACUUUUCCCCCUGCUUUGCAAUAUCACCAUGACAACAGAUAUAGAAAUCACUUAGUGACUCCGAGAAAGAAAACACACUGACACAGUCCCGCUUGUAUAGCGAAUCAAACUAAAGCCUUCAUUCAAAUGGCUAUUGAGCUUGGGCAUUCAUGUAGAGGAUGGGGUGGAUUUGACACAGGUAACUACAAGAGAAAGGCCAGCCUGAACUCCAGCCACAGCAUAUGGAGACAAAAUGACUUUAAAACUCUGCACUGUUUCCUCACCCCUUGGUCCAAGAGAAGUGUUGUACAAAUGAACUGAGGAAAAUCUGGAGAAGAUUCUAGGUCAAGUUUGUGUACAAGAGUUGAAAUUUUUAGUGACAGUCUUCCCUCACGGCCAAGCAAAAGUUUCCACACAGUGUUGAACAAGCUAGCCCAAUUAUCCUCCUCCUUUGAAAACCAUUAUCAAGUUUUUCAAAACUUCUUUCAUUUCACUGUUGUCAUUCAAUGAAAAGGAAACUAACCACCAUGUCAAGACAACUCUGCUGCCUAGCAACCAAGGGCCACGUUUUAAUUCCAACUUGCUUCUGGUC